GAUGAACGCUAGCUACAGGCUUAACACAUGCAAGUCGAGGGGAAACGACAUCGAAAGCUUGCUUUUGAUGGGCGUCGACCGGCGCACGGGUGAGUAACGCGUAUCCAACCUGCCCACCACUUGGGGAUAACCUCGCGAAAGUAAGGCUAAUACCCAAUGAUAUCUCUAGAAGACAUCUGAAAGGGAUUCAAGAUUUAUCGGUGAUGGAUGGGGAUGCGUCUGAUUAGCUUGUUGGCGGGGUAACGGCCCACCAAGGCUACGAUCAGUAGGGGUUCUGAGAGGAAGGUCCCCCACAUUGGAACUGAGACACGGUCCAAACUCCUACGGGAGGCAGCAGUGAGGAAUAUUGGUCAAUGGACGGGAGUCUGAACCAGCCAAGUAGCGUGCAGGAUGACGGCCCUAUGGGUUGUAAACUGCUUUUAUAAGGGAAUAAAGUGAGUCUCGUGAGACUUUUUGCAUGUACCUUAUGAAUAAGGACCGGCUAAUUCCGUGCCAGCCGCCGCCGUAA
RNAcentral lists this ribosomal RNA (508 nucleotides) under uncultured bacterium. RNAcentral's name for it is "partial 16S ribosomal RNA". It matches the Rfam family "Bacterial small subunit ribosomal RNA", at positions 28 to 523 of the family's 1533-position model. The record is from RNAcentral.